CCCUUAGAUGUUCUGGGCGGCCCGCGCACUACAUUGGCACUAGCAAAGAGAUCCUAGAUUGAAUUCUUUGGGGUAUUCUUCUAAAUGGUGUCGUGACUGGGAUAAAUCCUUGUAAUUAUUGGUUUUGAACGAGGAAUUCCUUGUAAUCGCGGUUUAUCAGCUCGCGUUGAAUGCGUCCCUGCCCUUUGUACACACCGCCCGUCGCUCCUACCGAUGGAUCGUCCGGUGAAGCUCACGGAGUGACUGUCCACGCAACGGUUUACGAAGUGAAAUGGACCUCACGAUUUAGAGGAAGGAGAAGUCGUAACA
Molecule: ribosomal RNA, 309 nt
Filed under: uncultured eukaryote
Lineage: Eukaryota
Description: partial 18S ribosomal RNA
Rfam family: Eukaryotic small subunit ribosomal RNA
Source: RNAcentral